Olea europaea var. sylvestris is the source of this 546-nucleotide long non-coding RNA. RefSeq lists it as uncharacterized. Lineage: Eukaryota; Viridiplantae; Streptophyta; Magnoliopsida; Lamiales; Oleaceae. The record is from RefSeq and is a predicted model, not a curated record. The transcript has 5 exons.
AGGCUUGUAGACCAGAUACUUGUUUUUUCCCCCAAUAAAGACUUAUCAGCGUUUUCUUCUCUAUAUUGUUCUGGGUUUUAAUUAUAACAAAUGGAUUAGUAUGGAGUUUUUUAACUUGAAAUACAAAAAUUUUAUAAUUUGUACUGUAGUUUCAACAGAAAUGAUAAUAAUAAAGGUGGGAUGGUAUCCAACAAAGCUGACUUUAGCUUCUGUUCUUUCUAGACUUGCCCGGGUUCACUCACAGUGUGUAAAAAAGAGACCAUGCUUUGAUAACACCUGAGAGUCACGUUUUCUGCCCAUUACCGGACUGGAUUAACACAAUGGGUGCUUAUCUAAUUACGCUGGCAAUGGGCUCACAGUUUGUUAUGUACUUGGCAAAGAUGCGAGAAAACUCUAAAUCUGGCUCGCCUCCAAUUGGUGCUGAGAGAUUUGUUUUUGUGCUUCAAGAUACGGUGACUCUCAUUGCUGUAUUGGACAUCAGUCACAAACUAGAGGUGGAUUCAUAUGCUUAUCUUCCUCCAAACUCGAAACAUUCCUUGAAAUCUG